CAAAGUUGUACUUGAUCAAGAUGGCUGAUAUGAAGAAGCUUAUAUUGAACAUUGCUUUGCUGUUUGUUCUUCUUUUCUCCAGUAAAGUCGCAGCUAUGGUACCAGCAUUUUGGAUGUCUGAUCAUCACAUAACACAUAAAAUUGGCCGCGUUGCUGAUAUUCCUCAAGGCCACAACUAUCGUCAUGGUUAGAACUAAACAAAACCAUAGCUCUCUAUGAAGAACCUUGUGGCCAAAAGAUUAUUGUCAAAGAAUGCAUGGAGGAGAUAGAUCUUAUUCUUAAUUUUUGUGCAAAGCAUGAUAUCCCUUAUUGUUAAUUAUCCAAUAAAAAAAAUGUGAGACUCGUAUGUAAUACAAAUAUGUAUGGUUAAGUAAAUUAUCGUUCGUUAUAUCA
This is a long non-coding RNA of Prosopis cineraria, 393 nucleotides long. RefSeq lists it as uncharacterized. The record is from RefSeq and is a predicted model, not a curated record. The transcript is spliced from 2 exons. NCBI's taxonomy places the organism in Eukaryota, Viridiplantae, Streptophyta, Magnoliopsida, Fabales, Fabaceae.